ACACGGCCCAAACUCCUACGGGAGGCAGCAGUGGGGAAUAUUGCACAAUGGGCGGAAGCCUGAUGCAGCGACGCCGCGUGAGUGAAGAAGUAUCUCGGUAUGUAAAGCUCUAUCAGCAGGGAAGAAAAUGACGGUACCUGACUAAGAAGCCCCGGCUAACUACGUGCCAGCAGCCGCGGUAAUACGUAGGGGGCAAGCGUUAUCCGGAUUUACUGGGUGUAAAGGGAGCGUAGACGGCGACGCAAGUCUGGAGUGAAAGCCCGGGGCCCAACCCCGGGACUGCUUUGGAAACUGUGCUGCUGGAGUGCAGGAGAGGUAAGUGGAUUCCUAGUGUAGCGGUGAAUGCGUAGAUAUUAGGAGGACACCAGUGCGUAGCGGCUUACUGGACUGUAACUGACGUUGAGGCUCGAAGCGUGGGGAGCAAACAGG
RNAcentral lists this ribosomal RNA (429 nucleotides) under uncultured Lachnospiraceae bacterium. Its description in RNAcentral is "bacterial SSU rRNA". It matches the Rfam family "Bacterial small subunit ribosomal RNA", at positions 324 to 776 of the family's 1533-position model. Lineage: Bacteria; Bacillati; Bacillota; Clostridia; Lachnospirales; Lachnospiraceae. The record is from RNAcentral.